RNAcentral lists this long non-coding RNA (221 nucleotides) under Elaeis guineensis (African oil palm). Its description in RNAcentral is "long non-coding RNA (EGUI_LNC064627)". The record is from RNAcentral. Lineage: Eukaryota; Viridiplantae; Streptophyta; Magnoliopsida; Arecales; Arecaceae.
GUCUUCUCGGGAGUGCUAGCUCACAUGAAGACCUUCUUCUUGACUAAUCUGGAUCUUUUCUUCAAAUCUCUGAAAUCUUUUUAGAGGUUGAAGAUGGACUUCUAGAGGAGAUGAAGAGGUAAAAUAAAGAUAAAGAAGAAAAUAAUUUUUUUCUAAUUUAGUCUCUCUUUCCAAACCCUUAGAACCAAAAAUUUGAAAUUCAGAUUUUUGCGCAUACCCCA